AGGCAAUCUGUCUACAACAUCAAUCACCUGACUGAUCACUAGGGUUGAUUUUGUUGACCUGGCUAACAAGGUUGGUAUCCCCUUACGAGCUCCAUUUUUGUUCCUUCUGAAGUUGAGCACUGGAUCAAAGUGACAUUCCCAGAAGAGAGGAGGACUAGUCCUCAAUAAAGAGCAUACAAGUG
This 182-nucleotide small nuclear RNA is filed under the name Mesocricetus auratus (golden hamster). RNAcentral describes it as "7SK RNA". It matches the Rfam family "7SK RNA", at positions 1 to 200 of the family's 331-position model. Rfam says of the family: 7SK was discovered as an abundant small nuclear RNA in the mid-70s but a possible function has only recently been suggested. The record is from Rfam by way of RNAcentral. Lineage: Eukaryota; Metazoa; Chordata; Mammalia; Rodentia; Cricetidae.